RNAcentral lists this long non-coding RNA (228 nucleotides) under Elaeis guineensis (African oil palm). Its description in RNAcentral is "long non-coding RNA (EGUI_LNC027564)". Lineage: Eukaryota; Viridiplantae; Streptophyta; Magnoliopsida; Arecales; Arecaceae. The record is from RNAcentral.
UUCGAAUUCUCUCAUACGCAUCUCUUCCGUCUGCAUUCUGUUUGGACUGUUUUUGAACUCGUGGGACUCCGUUCGUUGUCCUGGAUCUUGUUCUGGGCUUAUUAUCGAUCGAAUUUCGAAGCAUUUUCCUCAACAAAGAAUACAACAAUGAUAGCUUAUAUAGCUUGGCUGAUUUGGUUGGCCCAAAACAUAAAGAAUCUUUCGAAAACAUCUCUCAUCCCCUAUAGG